RNAcentral lists this ribosomal RNA (497 nucleotides) under uncultured bacterium. Its description in RNAcentral is "partial 16S ribosomal RNA". It matches the Rfam family "Bacterial small subunit ribosomal RNA", at positions 28 to 507 of the family's 1533-position model. The record is from RNAcentral.
GAUGAACGCUGGCGGCGUGCCUAAUACAUGCAAGUCGAGCGAACGGACGAGAAGCUUGCUUUUCUGAUGUUAGCGGCGGACGGGUGAGUAACACGUGGAUAACCUACCUAUAAGACUGGGAUAACUUCGGGAAACCGGAGCUAAUACCGGAUAAUACUUUGAACCGCAUGGUUCAAAAGUGAAAGACGGUCUUGCUGUCACUUAUAGAUGGAUCCGCGCUGCAUUAGCUAGUUGGUAAGGUAACGGCUUACCAAGGCAACGAUGCAUAGCCGACCUGAGAGGUUGAUCGGCCACACUGGAACUGAGACACGGUCCAGACUCCUACGGGAGGCAGCAGUAGGGAAUCUUCCGCAAUGGGCGAAAGCCUGACGGAGCAACGCCGCGUGAGUGAUGAAGGUCUUCGGAUCGUAAAACUCUGUUAUUAGGGAAGAACAUAUGUGUAAGUAACUGUGCACAUCUUGACGGUACCUAAUCAGAAAGCCACGGCUAACUACGUG